RNAcentral lists this ribosomal RNA (460 nucleotides) under uncultured bacterium. RNAcentral's name for it is "partial 16S ribosomal RNA". It matches the Rfam family "Bacterial small subunit ribosomal RNA", at positions 338 to 795 of the family's 1533-position model. The record is from RNAcentral.
CCUACGGGUGGCAGCAGUGAGGAAUAUUGGUCAAUGGACGAGAGUCUGAACCAGCCAAGUAGCGUGAAGGAUGACUGCCCUAUGGGUUGUAAACUUCUUUUAUAUGGGAAUAAAACGUUCCACGUGUGGGAUUUUGUAUGUACCAUAUGAAUAAGGAUCGGCUAACUCCGUGCCAGCAGCCGCGGUAAUACGGAGGUUCCGAGCGUUAUCCGGAUUUAUUGGGUUUAAAGGGAGCGUAGGUGGAUUGUUAAGUCAGUUGUGAAAGUUUGCGGCUCAACCGUAAAAUUGCAGUUGAGACUGGCAGUCUUGAGUACAGUAGAGGUGGGCGGAAUUCGUGGUGUAGCGGUGAAAUGCUUAGAUAUCACGAAGAACUCCGAUUGCGAAGGCAGUUCACUGGACUGCAACUGACACUGAGGCUCGAAAGUGUGGGUAUCAAACAGGAUUAGAUACCCUUGUAGUC